Molecule: long non-coding RNA, 384 nt
Organism: Propithecus coquereli (Coquerel's sifaka)
Lineage: Eukaryota; Metazoa; Chordata; Mammalia; Primates; Indriidae
Exons: 4
Source: RefSeq, a predicted model, not a curated record
GAGCAGUACUCAGAUGCACCGGAGGAAAUCCGUGAUGCUCGGCAUCCUCAUGUUACUCGCCAGAGUCAGGAGGACCAACACAGGAUUAACUACGAGGAGAGCAUGAUGGUGCGUUUGAGUGUCAGUAAACGAGAGAAAGGACGACGGAAACGAGCAAAUGCCAUGAGCUCACAACUUCAUUCCCUCACGCACUUCAGUGACAUCAGUGCUUUGACAGGAGGGACUGCUCAUCUUGAUGAGGAUCACAAUCCUGUUAAGAAGCGGAAGAAGAUACCUAAGAAAGGUGGGAAGAAAAAAGGUUUUCGGAGGCGGCGGUGAUUCUGGGUGUACAUAUUUAUAUAUAUUUUUUGUCAUCCUGGGAUACUUCUAAUUUCAUCAUAUGUA